UGGGGAAUAUUGCACAAUGGGGGAAACCCUGAUGCAGCGACGCCGCGUGAACGAAGAAGGUAUUCGUAUCGUAAAGUUCUGUCCUAUGGGAAGAUAAUGACAGUACCAUAGAAGAAAGCUCCGGCUAAAUACGUGCCAGCAGCCGCGCUAAUACGUAUGGAGCGAGCGUUGUCCGGAAUUAUUGGGCGUAAAGGGUACGCAGGCGGUUUAAUAAGUCGAAUGUUAAAGAUCGGGGCUCAACCCCGUAAAGCAUUGGAAACUGAUAAACUUGAGUAGUGGAGAGGAAAGUGGAAUUCCUAGUGUAGUGGUGAAAUACGUAGAUAUUAGGAGGAAUACCAGUAGCGAAGGCGACUUUCUGGACACAAACUGACGCUGAGGUACGAAAGCGUGGGGAGCAAACAGG
This 403-nucleotide ribosomal RNA is filed under the name bacterium. RNAcentral describes it as "partial 16S ribosomal RNA". It matches the Rfam family "Bacterial small subunit ribosomal RNA", at positions 355 to 776 of the family's 1533-position model. The record is from RNAcentral.